This 7126-nucleotide long non-coding RNA is filed under the name Daucus carota (carrot). Its description in RNAcentral is "long non-coding RNA (DCAR_LNC000821)". The record is from RNAcentral. Lineage: Eukaryota; Viridiplantae; Streptophyta; Magnoliopsida; Apiales; Apiaceae.
UGAAAUUUAUGCCUGAAUUGCUAACAUCAACAAAAUCAAGAUUCGGGAGUGACUCGCAGAGAGGCCUCCAUUUUUUCGACAAGAUACAAGUGCGUACAGCAGGUUUAAUUGGAAGCAAUGCAAGUAUAGCGAUGAGGAGUGAGUCAGGUAAAUCACUGAUUCUAUCUACCGCACAAAUAUUCGCUAAUUUUUUUGAAGUCGAAUCCAUAAAAUUUACCAAUGAAUUACAUAAAAACUUGAUCAAAAGCUGGAUGAGGAUGGGAAGGAAGAGCGAUUGAUUACCAAAUACGAUGCACGAAAGACGUUUCAGCUUACUCCAGUGAGGCAGUGACCGGGGUUUUUAGGUUUGCUGGAGAUUUUGACCCGGUAAUAUAGAUUCAUAGGAUCCGAACUCGAUCCAUUAAUAUGCUUGUUUACUCGUGUCUGUUAUGAGUUUAGAAGUUUAUUUAGAGAAUUAUUGGGAUUCCCUCUAAAUAAUUAUAUUUUGUUUUGAAUUUAUUGAAAAUGAUAUUAUUGAAUCGAAGUAGGAUGUGUGAGGCAGAUUUUUUAAGAUUGAUGUUAAAAUAGUUACUAUCCUUAAUAUAAGUUCAGUCAUUUAAAAGGGUCCAAUGCUAGCACAAAUUUAAAAUAUAUUGAUAUUGAUAACAUCAAUUAUAACCAUAGAACAUGAGAAUGAAAUAAUAUAAAAAAAUGUUAUAACUAAAAAUUGUUAACUUUCAUUCUAUAAAAUCAAUUAUAAAUGUAAUUAUGAUUGUGACAUGGGUAUUUAAGUUGAAAGGUAGAGAGGUGGAAAAUGGUAGUGAUUUGAAAAAAAAUAUAAAUUUUUUCCCUAAUCUAGUUGGCGAGGUAUUAUUAGUUGGAAAAUGUUAGUAUUCAGAAAGUAUUCUCAAAUUUUUUUCCAAAUUCAAACAACACUCUAUGAUUGGUUCAAAUUACACUAAUAAUAAUAGGAUCAUUUAUGCACAUCAACUGCCCAAUUAAAAUUAGUCAUAUGUCUAUCACGUCAAAGUAGAAUUUAGCAUUACCCUUAUUAGUUUCACACAUAUUAAUAAUAAUGCCUUUGAAUACACAAAUCACCCAAUUAAAAUUAAUCAUCUAUUUGCCACCUCAUUUGAAAGAAGAAUUGAAACAGAAUUUGAGAUAUAUAACACUACUCUAAAAGAGAAAUGAAUAUGAAAAUUAAUCUGGUUUAAGUUUUUGUAGUUAGGUUGAUAUCAAUUAUAAACUUAAUUGGUUUUGCUUUGUUUGAUUCCAUUUAAAAUUUAACUAUAAAAUUUGUUGUAAUAAUAAAAUGUAUUUUUUAAUUUUAUACUAAUAACAAUAACUAGUUCUGAGACUUGUUUAGCUUAAUUUAAAAAAAGUAACUCAUCGCAUAACAGGAAAAAAUAAAUUAUAAAUAAUAUAAUUUUAAACAUAUAAAUUACCCAAGUGUUUGUACAAUUGUGUGAUAAAAAGUUGCGGAAAAUAGAUGUUAAGAGCAUCUCCAACGGCGUUGGCUAUAAUCGUUGGCUAAAUUGGACCUGUAAGGCUUUAUGUAAAAUUUGCUGAACCUGUAACACAUUUUGCUUCAAUGGUAUUGGCUAUAAUUUAAAAAUAGUAUGUUAUUAAUAUUUUAAAUUGUUAAAAUAGAAUAUAUCAGUUCAAUAUGGUAAUAAAUGAUGUGCAAUCUUCCUACAGAUUUUCUUACAGACCUGUAGAGGUUCGACAAAUUUAGCCAUCCAUAGGAGGUUGGCUAAAAUUAUAGACAACAGGUGGGCGUGGUUGGAGUGUACUUUUUUGACGAUGUUGGCUAUAAUUUUUAAUUAUGGUAUGCCAACUCACAUUUUAGCUAAGGGUACUCUAUGGUUGGAGAUGCUCUUAGAGCAUCUCCAACCAUCUAAAACCCUUGGCUAAAAAGUGAGUUGCUUACCUAAAAUAAAAAAAUUUAGCCAAGAGCUCCAAAAACUCAACUCCAACCAUGCUCACCUGUUGUCUAUAAAUUUAGCCAACCUCCUAUGGAUGACUAAAUUUGUCGAACCUCUACAGGUCUGUAAGAAAAUCUGUAGGAAGAUUGUACAUCAUUUAUUACCAUAUUGAACUGAUAUAUUCUAUUUUAACAAUUUGAAAUAUUAAUAACAUACUAUGUGGGCGUGGUUGGAGUGUACUUUUUUGACGAUGUUGACUAUAAUUUUUAAUUAUGGUAUGCCAACUCACAUUUUAGCUAAGAGUACUUUAUGGUUGGAGAUGCUCUAAGUGAUUGAUUGGUUGGGCUACUAAGCCCAGCUUUUGGGCGUAUAAACCUGAUAUAGUUUAGCCCAACUUUUCGAUUUAUAAAUCCGAUUAGUUUAUUCAAAUUGUUUGUUUAACAAACUUAUAAAUUGAUUCCCGCUAUAUAAGUUGAUUACGUCAGAAUAUAAAAAGUUGAGCAUGCUAGUUUUUUAGUUUCUUAUUAUUAUUUUUUUGAAACUUGAUUUUACAAAUAUGCAGAGAAUGACUUUAAAAGAUAAUCUAUAUAAUUUAUUAUUAUAUUAAAAAUUCUUAUACUUUUUGAAAAUUCUUAUACUUAAUAAAUUGCAAGCACAAAAAAAUUAUUCAGAAUAAAACUUAUCUUUCAUUUAUAAUUAACUUUCUCAUUUAUCAUGACAAAAAAAAAAUUUAACUUCUCAUUUAUAAAUAUUAAGCCCUUCUUUUAUGUUCCGCUUAACGGAUCCUACAUUUGCAGUAGCUUUCAACUUCUGCUCUUAAAAUUUAAAAUAAGUACAUGCCUGUUAUUUUACCAAACAAACCACAACAGCAAAUAUCAUCUCAGGAAAAAAGCCAAAAAGCAGAGUCCGCCAAACACCCAUCUAAUCCAACAAUAGCAAUGGACUUGCAGGCUCAUUAAAUUCCUACUAUCUGGUGGGUGUAUUAGGAAAAGUGCCACCAAAUAUUGCAUUCAUUAUCUAACCAUCAAACUCUGCUACAUUCAUGCAUGAUAGAGUCGAGACAAACUCUCCAACGUUCAGACAAACUCUCCAACAUUCUGAACCUCUGAAAAUCAGAUUCAGCCUCAAAUUUUAGUAGGGAGAGCGAAAUUCGAGUGCUUGAAGAAUACAUAGAUGACACGAAAAUUUUAAAUUAUCUAAGAUACAGGUAGAAAAAAUAGAUAUAUUUCUAAGCUGAAAUCAAUAAGUGAAUAUUCCUGUUUCAAGAUAUGUAAAGAUUAACUAAAGAGAUAACUCAACAUUUAUCCCCUGUUUCUGUUUCAUUGUACAACAGGAGGUUCCGACCAAAAAUACAAGUUCUUUUUAUCACUAAUCACAGAAUUAUAGUGCAACUGAAUUAAAUAGCCAUUCUUCACACUGUUUCUGGAAGCUCCAUUUUACUUCAAUUGAACUAGGACACCAUUCUGAAAGCAUUAACUAAUGCAUCCAAGAUCAAAAUAAUAUUGAAUAACAUUUGAUAAUACACUAAUACUCUAAUAUUUCUUGCUUGUUCCAUCCCAACUUUUCCAAUGGAAUAAAUGUUGUCGCCAACAUAUAGUGCUUGAUCAAACUCCAUAGGGGAAUCCAAGCUUUGAUGUGCAAAUCAAACUUGUUUAUACAAGGUAUGUAUUAAUAGGUCUUAUGGUCCCUCUUACAUGGUCGUGCCAAAGCCAAUAUACAGGAUGAACUAUAGCAAGGACUCCGUUUAACUUGAAAACUAUGAUAUCCCGAAUCAGGCAGUUGAUCGAACCAGCUGUAUUCAGCUACAAAUAAACCAGGCACAAAAUUAAUAAUUUCUCUAAUCAUCCAUUCUGUAUAACCUUGGCGAAAAGUCUGAUCUGAGUGUCUGACAAAUUCGGGUUCAUCACAAGUGUUUGAAUUUACAUACUAAACUGACAAUCUACAUUAGGGAAGUAGGCAUGAUAUCUAGCACCAGCCCACUUCCUUUGGCUCACGGAGAUAAAUAAACCAAUUAAAAUCAUAACUAAUCUAUAUAUCCAUUUAUCUAUAUAUUAUACUAUUAUAACCAGAAUUACACAUCUGUGAAGAGGGAGGGCAGAUUUUGUAUUUUGCCUAAAGGAAGAAGGUAACACUAAUAUCUUUCUUUAUAUGUGAUGGAAACUUAAAGUUGGGUCCCUUCAACUUUCUCACUUUUUGAACAUGUUAAACCAGUCUCUUAUGUUUUCAAAAAUCAUAAAAAACCUCUGAAGUUUCCAGAAAUUACGAACUACUGUACUUGCAGAAAACUAGUCCCUCACAGUUUAGAAAAUUACUGGCCAAUCCUAUGCUUCCAGUUCCAGAAUCUGACAUUUUGAUCCUUUUAGUAAAAUAUAACUUAGAAGUUACUAUUUUUUUUGAAAAAUUAAAAUGUUUCUUUCAAGUUGAAUGAAAAGUUUUUUUGUAAAGACAUGAACUUUAAUUUAAGUUUAUAAACACAAAAUAAAAAUUAAAAAUUACUUAAAGCAGAUAUGAAAAGAAAAAAUAUAACAACUAAGUUGGAUCGUAAAUAUCAGUAGCAUCAAGCAGAGUAAUCCAACUUACAAAAGUUAACGAGAAAGAAACCCAAAAAACAUAAAAAUGCAAAAUAAUUGCCCCCCACCAGUACACAAGUUCUUGGUAACACCAUGUUUGCACAAACGAGUCUGGCAAACCAUCUAAAAGGGAAGGACAGGGCUUUCGCGGCCUAGCAAGAGCAUGCACUGUCCUGACAUAGUUUAAGGCUAUGUAUAACUUUGAGGUCUAGAAUUAAAGUUGCUAAUUGCCAAAAUUAAGGAAAAUAAGUUAUAAAACUAAGAUUCUGAGAUUGCAGCUUAUCAAGAUUCUGCAGACCUCUGCUUACCAAACAAUAGUGUUUAGUGAACAAGGUAAAGAGGUUCGAUGGUGGAAGAAUGUAGAUCUUAAAAGAACAGUCAUGGAAAGGCACGAGAAUGCCACAAUUAUACCCUACUGAUCCACCAAAAUAUAUGAAAAGACAACAACCUGGUGGCAUCUAACCAUAAUAUAAUGAUAAAUUAAAGAGUAGCAUAAACAGAUUUCCUUCACAAAUAGAUAUUGAUUACCUACUUUACAAAAAAAAAAAACAAGAUAUUUAUAACUAGGAAACCAAAUACCAAGACAAAUAAACACAAACCUAAGAGAGGAUGGACCAAAAUUAAUGAUAGAAUGAGUCUUUAAGGUCAGCAAGUAAGACGAGCAAUCCAGACACAACUUCAUCUACUUAUCACUCAUUUUCACCCGUAACCUAUAAAAGAUUGGAUCUUAAUCUGUGGCUCCACGAAGCACCUCUAUGGUGCUAGGACAAGGUGUGACAUUGCUGCGCAUCUUAGCUAUUUUCCACUUUCUAGAUAUUGGAAUCCAUGUAAAUUCACACUAUUUAAACUAAAAACAGGUUCCAUAUCUAACAAGAAAGCAAAAGAAUUACACAAUCAACAAAAUAUCAUUCUUAAACAAUGCAUCAAAUAUCAUUCUUAAACAAUGCAUCUUGUUAAUAUUUCAUGCCACAGUGAAAGGCUAAAAUAACAAUGCUGGGAGAAAAACAUUGUAGCAAAAACUAAUAAUAAUAUAAAAGAAAAACAGCGCUUAUUACAGAAAAUUUACCUCAUACACUUUGUGAUUAUAAGAAGCAUUUCCCAUUUUCAUCUAUAAGAUUAAGCUUGCAAGUUGUUGAUUCGGUCUGUAAGUUUAACAGUUCUUGCCAGGCCUCUGCAUCUUUUGACAAAUUUGAAAUUUCAAUUGAUACACUCCGCAAAGCACUCCCAUAAGCUAGCAGGUAUUUAACAAAUGCCAACUCCUCAUUUAUUCCAUGGAAUUUUCUAAUAUAUACUGUUUUAAGAUGUGCGCAUAAGCAUUUUGGAACCCGUGAUUGUGACCAGCCCCAUGAGCGGCGAAAAGAUUCAUGAAGGGAAGUACAAACAAGACCCUGCCAACAAGAAAGAGCAAAGUGUUAAAUUCUAAGUUCAGUGUCCUUCUUGACAAAUACGUCAGAUCUCAGUUUUUAAACUCACCUGCGGAAAUUCAAGACUUUCAAGCUUCGCUGAGUUUUGAAGGAAGUCAUCCAGUAAAGUUUCAUGACAAUAAUCUUUAACAUUAAUUAACAACUUAGUCAAGUUAUGAAACGGAGGAAACUCAUAGUGACCUGUUCUUAACUCAUUAUCAUAUGCAAGGCUGACGAUCUUCAAAAUAAGAAGGAAAAGCGUGAGAGUCACAUAAAUUCACAGCAAAGAUAAAAAUUAGUUCAAGUAAGUUAGGAUUUAGGCAUGACACUAACCUGCACAGUGUGAUCUGACAAAUUCAAAAUUUUGACGUGAUUAAUCUUUUUAAGCAGCCCAAACACGCAAUCAACUCCUCGUGGUAUCUCAUUAUUAUAGAUGUCGAUUACAGCUAUCUUGAGGAAUGGCAAGUUGCCCUUGAACAAAAUAUCAUUAUCACCGCAUGUGUAAGAACAAAUUUUAAGACUCUCUAAUCUCGGUGUAUCAAUCAAAGUCCGAAGCACAAAUUCUUCAUCAUCUGAACUAAGACAAUAUGACAACCGCUUCAAUGCAGAUCCACAAAUACUGAAAGAGUUGCCCGUAAGCCAUUUACAGUGGACAAUAUCCAAAUCUUCAAGCACAGGACAGUUUAACAAAAGCUUCCCAACUGACUCAUAGCUCGAAAUUCUAACGUUGUGGAAGCUAAGUACCCGAAGCCUCGAAAACUUAACAUUCUCCGGAAUCUCAAGUAAUAUUUUCCCACGGAGUAGAAGAACUUCAACACCAGUACACAUGUAAAAAAAGUCUUGAACCAAUUCACACAAGUCUGGAAAUGAAAUAACAAGGACUAUCGCUUUCAAAUCACGCCCAACAGCAUUCAUAAUCCACUCAUCAACGCGGUCCCUGUAGUAAUCUCCACCAGAACAAAUUAACCGGAAUUUUGUGAUUUUCAAAUCAUUCAGCCUACGCAUCAAAAACUUAUCAACAAAGUUGGUGAAAUUUAUGCCUGAAUUCCUAACAUCAACAAAAUCAAGAUUCGGGAGUGACUCGCAGAGAGGCCUCCAUCUUUUCGACAAGAUACAAGUGCGUACAGCAGGUUUAAUUGGAAGCAAUGCAAGUAUAGCGAUGAGUAGUGAGUCAGGUAAAUCACUGAUUCUAUCUACGUCACAGAUAUUCGUUAAUUUUCUUGAAGUUGAAUCCAUGGACCAUGAUAGG